CAUUGACUAAGGACAAAUAUUUACAGGGAUUUAUUAGCCAAUAAAUUUAAGCAGACUCAAAAUUUCUGGUGUUCAAAGCUAAACGGCCAUUUGCAGGAAAAAGUUUAGCCUCAGUUAUCUGUGGCCACAGCUGGCCUCGCACUCCCAAUAGGCGAGAGAGGGUAUAUGGGCAACAACAUGAAGAUGACAGCACCAACACCCUCCUCCUGGCUCUGAUGCCACUGGAAGGCAGUGCGUCUUCUCCUCCCACUGUGCAACGAGUUUAAAGUUUCAUAGAAGUUAUACUGCUAGUGCAAGGAGAAAUACACAUUAAAUAA
This is a long non-coding RNA of Poecilia latipinna (sailfin molly), 317 nucleotides long. RefSeq lists it as uncharacterized. The transcript is spliced from 2 exons. NCBI's taxonomy places the organism in Eukaryota, Metazoa, Chordata, Actinopteri, Cyprinodontiformes, Poeciliidae. The record is from RefSeq and is a predicted model, not a curated record.